AAAUAAUCGGCAAUUAUUCAGUAGCCGGUUAUUUAAAAAAAUAUGAAAACACACACAGGGGUCUGUGGAGGAAGGAGGCAGCAAUGCCUCAAAAUUAUGGCAUUUAUCAUUAAGGACCCCCAUAACCCAGGACAUCCUCUCUUCUCAUUGCUACCAUCAGGAAGGAGGAACACUCAAUGAAUCCACAGCAGAGUAAUAACCAUAAUGGAAUCAAUGAAAGACUGCACCAACUUGGCCAUUCAACCAGCGUGCAAAAGACCAUGUAAAUACAAUAUGAAAGAAAUAAUAAUAAUAAUAAAUAAAUAAGCAAUAAAUAUUGAGAAUAUGAGAUGAAGAGUCCUUGAAAGUGAGUCCAUAGGUUGUGGGAGCAUUUCCGUGAUGGGGUGAGUGAAGUUAUCCCCUUUGGUUCAACAGCCUGAUGGUUGAGGAGUAAUAACUGUUCCUGAACCUGGCGGUGUGAGACCUGAGGGUCCCAUACCUCCUUCCUGAUGGCGGCAGUGAGAAGGGAGCAUGUCCUCGGUGCUGGAUGUCCCUGACGAUGGAUGAUAACACUGGAACAGAAAUGAAAUCGUCCGCCAGCUUAAAUGGCUUCAAAUACAAAGUCAAGGUGGAGUUCAUUGUCAUCUGCAGUUACUUGUGUGCAUGGGUGCAAUGAAAAACUUGCUUGCAGCAACAUCACAGGCAGAUAGCAUCAGAUAAGCAGCAUUCACAAAAAAUAUAAAUUAGACACAAUUUAGAUGAUACACAAUUGUUAGAAGGAAGAAGGCAAUUAGAGCAAUAAUAAUCCAAGACCAUUGCAGU
Long non-coding RNA from Hypanus sabinus (Atlantic stingray), 801 nucleotides. RefSeq lists it as uncharacterized. The transcript has 3 exons. Lineage: Eukaryota; Metazoa; Chordata; Chondrichthyes; Myliobatiformes; Dasyatidae. The record is from RefSeq and is a predicted model, not a curated record.